AUCUGCCGCCAUGCCGCCCUGAACAAGCUCGAUCCCGUCUGAUCUGGGAAGCUAAGCAGGGUCAGGCCUGGUUACUACUAGUUAGUACUUGGAUAGGAGACCACCUAGAAAGACCAGGUGCGGUAGGCA
Pteropus vampyrus (large flying fox) is the source of this 129-nucleotide ribosomal RNA. Lineage: Eukaryota; Metazoa; Chordata; Mammalia; Chiroptera; Pteropodidae. The record is from Ensembl.